GCGGCCAUCGAUUAAGGGCUAGAUCCUGUGCCUUCCAAGCAUAAGAUGUGGGUUCGAAUCCCACUGGCCGCU
RNAcentral lists this transfer RNA (72 nucleotides) under Marsupiomonas sp. NIES 1824. RNAcentral's name for it is "tRNA-Gly". It matches the Rfam family "tRNA". From Rfam's summary of the family: Transfer RNA (tRNA) molecules are approximately 80 nucleotides in length. Their secondary structure includes four short double-helical elements and three loops (D, anti-codon, and T loops). Further hydrogen bonds mediate the characteristic L-shaped molecular structure. tRNAs have two regions of fundamental functional importance: the anti-codon, which is responsible for specific mRNA codon recognition, and the 3' end, to which the tRNAs corresponding amino acid is attached (by aminoacyl-tRNA synthetases). tRNAs cope with the degeneracy of the genetic code in two manners: having more than one tRNA (with a specific anti-codon) for a particular amino acid; and 'wobble' base-pairing, i.e. permitting non-standard base-pairing at the 3rd anti-codon position. Lineage: Eukaryota; Viridiplantae; Chlorophyta; Pedinophyceae; Marsupiomonadales; Marsupiomonadaceae. The record is from RNAcentral.